CUCGGCCAUAGUUCUAGUGGGAUCACUGGCCAUUCUGGUGGCAUCCUGCUAGGCGUGAAGGAUGCCACCUUUGAGGUUGGGGGCAUGGAUCAGGGGGAAUUCUUCAUGAGUAUGGAGAUCUUCGAGAGGGCCCUCAACUUUAAAUGGCAGGUCGUGGUUGUUUAUGGCCCAGCCGAUCAUCGCCGCUCCCCGGCCUUCAUGGAGGAGCUUCAUCUGAAGAUCUCCAACUCUCUCCUCCUAGUCGUUGUGGGCAGAGACUUUAACCUCAUCCGAUCCCCGGAUGAGAAGAAUAAUGACCAGAUUAACCUCCCCCGGAUGCAGUUAUUCAAUGACUGA
RNAcentral lists this ribosomal RNA (336 nucleotides) under Triticum aestivum (bread wheat). Its description in RNAcentral is "partial small subunit ribosomal RNA". The record is from RNAcentral. Lineage: Eukaryota; Viridiplantae; Streptophyta; Magnoliopsida; Poales; Poaceae.